Molecule: ribosomal RNA, 253 nt
Filed under: uncultured bacterium
Lineage: Bacteria
Description: partial 16S ribosomal RNA
Rfam family: Bacterial small subunit ribosomal RNA
Source: RNAcentral
GACGAGGGAUCCUAGCGUUGUUCGGAAUUAUUGGGCGUAAAGCGGAUGUAGGUGGCUUUGUAAGUCAGAUGUGAAAGCCCAGGGCUCAACCCUGGAAGUGCAUUUGAUACUGCGAAGCUUGAGUGUGGGAGAGGAUAGUAGAAUUCCUGGUGUAGUGGUGAAAUACGUAGAUAUCAGGAGGAAUACCGGAGGCGAAGGCGGCUAUCUGGCCCAACACUGACACUGAGAUCCGAAAGCGUGGGGAUCAAACAGG